GAACGAGAAAGUGGAGCAAUACAUGAGUAAAGUGGCGACCGGGUGAGUAACACGUGACUAACCUACCUCCGAGUGGGGAAUAACUCCGGGAAACCGGGGCUAAUACCGCAUAACAUCGCGAGAUCAAAGCAGCAAUGCGCUUGGAGAGGGGGUCGCGGCUGAUUAGCUAGUUGGCGGGGUAACGGCCCACCAAGGCGAAGAUCGGUAUCCGGCCUGAGAGGGCGCACGGACACACUGGAACUGAAACACGGUCCAGACUCCUACGGGAGGCAGCAGUGGGGAAUUUUGCGCAAUGGGGGAAACCCUGACGCAGCAACGCCGCGUGGAGGAUGAAGCCCUUUGGGGCGUAAACUCCUUUCGACCAAGACGAUAAUGACGGUACUGGUGGAAGAAGCACCGGCUAACUCUGUG
This 411-nucleotide ribosomal RNA is filed under the name uncultured bacterium. Its description in RNAcentral is "bacterial SSU rRNA". It matches the Rfam family "Bacterial small subunit ribosomal RNA", at positions 64 to 507 of the family's 1533-position model. The record is from RNAcentral.